RNAcentral lists this ribosomal RNA (253 nucleotides) under uncultured bacterium. Its description in RNAcentral is "partial 16S ribosomal RNA". It matches the Rfam family "Bacterial small subunit ribosomal RNA", at positions 524 to 776 of the family's 1533-position model. The record is from RNAcentral.
UACAGAGGUCUCAAGCGUUGUUCGGAUUCAUUGGGCGUAAAGGGUGCGUAGGCGGCGCGGUAAGUCGGGUGUGAAAUCUCGGAGCUUAACCCCGAAACUGCAUUCGAUACUGCCGUGCUUGAGGACUGGAGAGGAGACUGGAAUUUACGGUGUAGCAGUGAAAUGCGUAGAUAUCGUAAGGAAGACCAGUGGCGAAGGCGAGUCUCUGGACAGCAACUGACGCUGAGGCACGAAGGCCAGGGGAGCAAACGGG